This 502-nucleotide long non-coding RNA is filed under the name Phascolarctos cinereus (koala). RNAcentral describes it as "lncRNA (ENSPCIG00000035069.1)". Lineage: Eukaryota; Metazoa; Chordata; Mammalia; Diprotodontia; Phascolarctidae. The record is from RNAcentral.
GAAUGAAACGCUGAUAACUUCUUACUUUGGAGGACUUCUGUUAGAAGGGGGGUGGAGGGGACAGUUCCCAAGGAUCUGAAACAAAGCUUUUUAUCUACUUGUGAAGAUUUAUCUAGUUGUGAAGAGGGAGUUUUUAGCUAACGGAAGCUGCAGCAUUGUCCCCAGGAAAUAAUGCUUUAUCCAGAAUGGGGGGCCUGCUUUAUUUCUGGCACUGUUCAGAAUUGUGCUGAAUCUCUUAUCACCUGGUGUUUUCAUCUGGCCGGUCACCCUCAGGCAGAACCCAGGCAGAGCGUCUGCCUUUGAGCAUUUGGGAAAGGAAGGCCCAAGCAAUGAAGUGGAUGAGACUAGUUUCCAAAAGGCUGCUUAUGUCUGGGAGCUGAGGCCAGACCCAGGCUACAGGCCAUUAGGUCUGGUCCAGUUGUGGUUUCACUGACAUUGACCAUUUUCUUGUCAAAGACCUGUUUGGAAUAAAACUGGAUUUUGCUGAACUGUUCUCUUAUUC